This 466-nucleotide ribosomal RNA is filed under the name uncultured bacterium. RNAcentral describes it as "partial 16S ribosomal RNA". It matches the Rfam family "Bacterial small subunit ribosomal RNA", at positions 28 to 507 of the family's 1533-position model. The record is from RNAcentral.
GACGAACGCUGGCGGCGCGCCUAACACAUGCAAGUCGAACGAGCGAGAGAGAGCUUGCUUUCUUGAGCGAGUGGCGAACGGGUGAGUAACGCGUGAGGAACCUGCCUCAAAGAGGGGGACAACAGUUGGAAACGACUGCUAAUACCGCAUAAGCCCACGACCCGGCAUCGGGUUGAGGGAAAAGGAGCAAUCCGCUUUGAGAUGGCCUCGCGUCCGAUUAGCUAGUUGGUGAGGUAACGGCCCACCAAGGCGACGAUCGGUAGCCGGACUGAGAGGUUGAACGGCCACAUUGGGACUGAGACACGGCCCAGACUCCUACGGGAGGCAGCAGUGGGGAAUAUUGCACAAUGGGGGAAACCCUGAUGCAGCGACGCCGCGUUGAGGAAGAAGGUCUUCGGAUUGUAAACUCCUGUUGUUGAGGAAGAUAAUGACGGUACUCAACAAGGAAGUGACGGCUAACUACGUG